CCUCCACGAUCUCAUAUCAUAUCCACUUCUUCAAUUCAAUUCUUCACCGACAUGAUUUCAUACCAAAAGAAAACUUCACAAUCUCUACAUUUUUCGUAUUCCCAACAGACCCAAAAUCAAGAAAUCUCAAAUCUUUCACUAUUUCUCUUCACUUUUCUUACCAUGAAUUGAAUCUGUCGACAUAGAAAGUAGAAAAAAGAGUUUGACGUGAUGAAAACAUGUAUUUUGCUUUUAUACAAUCAAACAAAAGUAACGAGAUUGAAAACCAAAGGAACAUAAACUAUUGGCAAAAAGGUAUGAUUCUUCACUAUCAAAAGCUGCAGUUCAUAAGUUUUUUCUACUAACUGUUUGUCAAAAUGGGUGACAUAAAAUUUGGUUUAAUAGAGCAGCACAAGAACAUAUUACGGCUCUUACAUACCUUUUCUUCACUAAGAUUUUUUAGAUCUCUACUGUCUCUUUGUCUAUCUCUAUUGAACCUCCUUCGUUUGGUUGGGAUCGAAGAGAAGAGUAAAAGUGUGAAAUCAACCAAAAGUGGCGGCUUUCAAGUAUAAAACCAGAGAAACUCUUACAAGUUUUUUGCGAUUGUAUCAAAUUCAAGAGUAAAAAAGCAUGCCUAAUUUUCUAAGGUUUGUUUUAUGAAUAAAUUUGAACAGUUUUCAUUUCACUUCAUCACUUGCAGAUAUUGAUAUAUAGCUAUAUCCAUAAUCCAUGUCUGUUUAAGUGUUAAGUAUCCAUCUUUGCUAAGAUUAAUUCACGCCUGACUAAUGAUUCUUAUACUAGCUUAUGAUCGAUAUAUAUAUAUAUAUAUAUGUUUAUUAACUCAUUUAGCAAAUCGAGAUAUAAUUAGUUCUCUAAUAUUUCAUAACCACUUCACCUCUGAAUUUAAAUAUUUUCAAAAAACAAGUUUUGAGAAGAUAAGCCACUGUAAUCUCAAAUUUAAUUUAGAAAAUUAGAAGGUUUUUUUGUCAUCAGAAAAUAGGAACUUUUAGAUCAUAGUUUUGUUUUAAUCAAGUAGAAUUUUACAUAGCUUAUCAUUAACACAAAACAGUUUAUUCAUUCGUAUAAAAUCAAUCUUAUUUUUUUUCCCCGUACGUAGUACGGGUGGUAUACUAGUUUCUUAUAAAGAAAUCAUCAUAUAUAUAAAAGUAGAGUUUCAGUCUCUCCUUAUUGGUCCA
Non-coding RNA from Camelina sativa (false flax), 1175 nucleotides. NCBI's taxonomy places the organism in Eukaryota, Viridiplantae, Streptophyta, Magnoliopsida, Brassicales, Brassicaceae. The record is from RefSeq and is a predicted model, not a curated record.